GGGGACGUGGCGGAAUUGGUAUACGCUUACGCUUGAGGUGCGUACGCCUUUAUGGCUUGAGGGUUCGAAUCCCUCCGUCCGCA
RNAcentral lists this transfer RNA (83 nucleotides) under Candidatus Doudnaibacteriota bacterium. RNAcentral's name for it is "Candidatus Doudnabacteria bacterium tRNA-Leu". It matches the Rfam family "tRNA". Rfam says of the family: Transfer RNA (tRNA) molecules are approximately 80 nucleotides in length. Their secondary structure includes four short double-helical elements and three loops (D, anti-codon, and T loops). The record is from RNAcentral. Lineage: Bacteria; Candidatus Doudnaibacteriota.